AGGGAUAUAGCUCAGUUGGUAGAGUGCUUGCCUGGCAUGCAUAAGGCCCUGGGUUCAAUCCCCAGCACCUCAA
This 73-nucleotide transfer RNA is filed under the name Marmota marmota marmota (Alpine marmot). It matches the Rfam family "tRNA". From Rfam's summary of the family: Transfer RNA (tRNA) molecules are approximately 80 nucleotides in length. Their secondary structure includes four short double-helical elements and three loops (D, anti-codon, and T loops). RNAcentral also lists the same sequence under 3 other names. Lineage: Eukaryota; Metazoa; Chordata; Mammalia; Rodentia; Sciuridae. The record is from Rfam by way of RNAcentral.